Molecule: ribosomal RNA, 253 nt
Filed under: uncultured bacterium
Lineage: Bacteria
Description: partial 16S ribosomal RNA
Rfam family: Bacterial small subunit ribosomal RNA
Source: RNAcentral
UACGGAGGGUGCAAGCGUUGUCCGGAAUCACUGGGCGUAACGGGCGCGUAGGCGGCCCGGUAAGUAGGGGGUGAAAUCCUGCGGCUUAACCGCAGGGCUGCCUUCUAAACUGUCGGGCUCGAGCACGGUAGAGGCAGAUGGAAUUCCCGGUGUAGCGGUGGAAUGCGUAGAGAUCGGGAGGAACACCGGUGGCGAAGGCGGCCUUCUGGACGGUGACUGACGCUGAGGCGCGAAAGCGUGGGGAGCAAACGGG